GGGGAAUAUUGGACAAUGGGGGGAACCCUGAUCCAGCCAUGCCGCGUGUGUGAAGAAGGCCUUAUGGUUGUAAAGCACUUUAAGCGAGGAGGAGGCUACUUUAGUUAAUACCUAGAGAUAGUGGACGUUACUCGCAGAAUAAGCACCGGCUAACUCUGUGCCACGCAGCCGCGGUAAU
RNAcentral lists this ribosomal RNA (178 nucleotides) under uncultured Acinetobacter sp. Its description in RNAcentral is "partial 16S ribosomal RNA". It matches the Rfam family "Bacterial small subunit ribosomal RNA", at positions 356 to 524 of the family's 1533-position model. Lineage: Bacteria; Pseudomonadati; Pseudomonadota; Gammaproteobacteria; Moraxellales; Moraxellaceae. The record is from RNAcentral.